Molecule: long non-coding RNA, 5667 nt
Filed under: Sus scrofa (pig)
Lineage: Eukaryota; Metazoa; Chordata; Mammalia; Artiodactyla; Suidae
Description: lncRNA (ENSSSCG00050011952.1)
Source: RNAcentral
GUGGGCCAGUUGAGGACAUUUAUGAAGUGUGACAUUCUCAUUGGCUCAUGGUUGUGCUUCUUGAUGGAAUCCACAAUCAGUUAUGGAUAUCUUCCAAGAGUCCUAUCUGCUACUCUCCCAGCCUCCUCCCAUCCACCAGUCUUACAGCUCAUGAUUCAAUAUUCUGGUUGGGGUAGGAGAGAAAUGAGCCUCUCUGGCAGUAUCCCACACACCUGGGGAAGCUGGGUGCUCACUCACACACUCUCUCUUUUGCAUGCAGGAUAAAUCACAGUCUAAGAAAGAUCUUUUUUGGCCUUGAGCUCUGCAACUUUGGAGAAGGAAUGACGUGGGAAAGUCCAGCUGUUAUUGUUACCCAUCAUUCCACACUCAGUUUUUUUCUUUUCCUGCAACAAUGUGAUGGAACUUCUCCUCUGGAAACCUGGGCUUCCACAAAGGCUUUUGCCUCUGUGGAAAGUUAUCUAAGACAGUGAUUUUUAGGGUUUCCCAGACUGAGGCUAAAAGGUGUUGGAGCCAGUUCAUGGCCAACAUGCACUUGACAUAUACUCAUUGGAGGCAUAAUGUGCACUAGCCAGGACCUAAGUUUGUGCCUAUUACAUGAUGCAAAGUUGUGUGAUAUUCCUCCUGGGUCUUUUGGUGUAUAGUACUGGAUUCACAGCUCUCACAAAGGCACAUUCAUUUGUGGAUAAAUGCCAAAUUAUCAUUGAUGGUAGGGGGAUGGGACAAAAAUAAGUGAUGAAUUAUUCUAUCAUGAUGCUGACAUCACUCUCCUUGAGCCAUCUUUUCAUUUUGUUUUCUAGUACUUCUAUUAUGCUACUUAGCAUACAACAAAACCCUUUCUAGGAACAGUUCUACUGAGAAAGAAGGAAAUAAAUAUUUGGACAUAUAUAUUAAUAUAGAUAAAAAUUUCUCUCACAAUUUUUGGAGGAGAAAACAGAUGGGUUGCUGAAAAAUGUCAGUGCUAGAAACCUUGUGAAUGAGGAUGAAAGAGAUACAGAGACAACCAGAACUAAGUGAGAAAAAGUUUGUCAGUUCCCUACCCACACAGUUGCCUGAGGGAAAUUGAUCUUUUCUAAAGGGAGAAAAGAGAUUGAAGAAAAAAACGCAAUUUUUUAAUCUAUGAUUUAUUUCACAUCUUGAGUUUGCCUAGAUCAGUGAUUCUCAGUAAAUUUGAUUUUAUGACUAAUUUUACACUAAUAUAGACGGGACAGAGUGGAGAUAGUGCUUGCGUCAAUACCAUGAUGCAAGCAAUAAUUUCUUCAUAGUUCCCAGAAAAGAUUAUCUGUUGCCAACUUAAUUUGUCUUAAGCACAAUCUCUGCCUGAGGGGCCAGCCUAAGAGUUUUGAAAUACGCAACACUGGUUCCUGUGGUUUCUGUGCUCCUCCCCUUUCAAGUAGCCAUUGUUCUCAGGCUGCCUCCUGACUUUGAGAUCACCAGGUUCAAACAUCGCCUCCCAUCCCUGAGGUAGAAUAAGUCUUUCCUACCUCAACUUCCAAAUGCAGUUAACACAUACUCAAUGAGGGCAUGAUGUGUAAAGUCACCGAGAAGUUCCUGAGGAUACAGGAGGAUGUGGAGGAAAAGGUCUCAUUGAUGACUUAUGGAGACCUGCAAUGUUCUGUGUUCCAAUGUAAUCCACUGCUCUGUGUUAUAAAUAACACUAUAUCGUACCCUAUGAGGAGUAUCUGAAUUUUUAAGAGGAUCUCUAGAGAUGUAAAACUCAUCGUAAAAGGAUGAUUUCCCUAAUGGUGGAAAUUUUGGUUGGCAUCAGACUCAUGAGUAAGAUAUGCUGGGGCCAGAAGAUGUAUUUCAAACCACACCAUGAAGAGAAUUUGUUUAUGCCAAGCCAAACCAUCAAGUGGUCUCCACAAAAUAUGUAAAGUCUUAAUAAAAAUAUACUGACUAGCUAAAUAAAAAGGUAAACAGAGAAGCAGAUGGCUAAUAAAUACACAGAUGGUCUGGGAAAUUUACUGAUAGUGACUUAUACAUGACAUUUUGUCACCAGUUUAAUAUAAAGAACUAUAUUGUUAAUAGGCAUUGAAGAACUGACAAGGUAAACAGAGAACAUUGAAGGUACUAUGGAAAUGGAUAUUGAAGAAAGUGGUUAUCACAGCUAGGGCUGAGGGAAUUAAGAAAAGAGUUAGGAAAUUAAAUAUUAGAAGCUUGAAGGAGGGAUCUUUUGGGGCUGAGACUCAGGCCUCUGAGAGGUGUUGCUUGCAGUUAGUGGGGCUCCAGAUAUUUGGAUGAGGGACCACAGAGCUGGAUGGAGACCUCUGAGGAAGGAACAUGAACAAGAUGGGCUGGUGUCUCUGGAGGGGUGCAAUGGCACUAGUUCUAGGAGUGUUGGGAAAGUUGCAAACUAGAAUCAGCUGUGGUUAAUGAAAGGCAUGACACUCAAGGUGAAGAGCCUUUGGUGGGUAAUGGGAUAGGGAUGAGAAGACAGGAGGAGGCAAAUUCUCCAGUCUUCCAGUCUCCCUCCAGCAUCCCCUGUUGAUGGAGCCUAACAGGGUACAUCUGGCAAAGUAGUAAUAGGGUUUGCAGAAUUCCAUCCCCAGCCUCAUAGAGGCCAACAGAGAGGAUGGAUUUGAAGCUGAGGGACAUUAGCUUUAAAACAAACACAAUCGUAGCUUAGAUUUUAGUGUUUUUUACUAACUUUUGUUUUUCAGAAAUUGUCUUUUCUUUCAAAUAAGUGAUUUAAAAUUUAAAAUUAUCUUUUAAUUAUAUUUUAUAAGUUACUUCUGACUGGUAUAACUUUCAUUUCAUCAGUCACUAUCUUUCUAUAUGAAAAUUGAACCUUCACUGAAAAAAUGUUUAUUGAAAAUAAUUUAUUGAAAAAAUAUAUCCACUUAGUAUGAGAUGUUGUUCCAUCAGACAAGUAAAUAUGUCUAGGGAGUUGUCACUUCAUCAUAAGGUUUGGAAGACUUUUUUGCCCAUAAGAGUAUGAUCAGGAUUUGAACUGCAUAAUAAAAAUAUGGAGAUUUCUCAAAAAUAGACAAAUGAAACACUCAGAACAUAUCAAAGUGAAGUCACUGUGUCAGAGACCUUGGAGGGCUCCUGUGUACAAGCUCAGUGGUCUUUGGGAUAUACUUAUUGCAACAGGGGGUAAAAUACGCUUUCAACAGUGUAAAUCAUAGCGUCGACAAACCUUACUGAGAGGUUACCACAUGACAAGCAUUAUUCUAAGUAUUUAGCACGAUUUAACAUAUUUAAUCCUUAAAAUGAUUUAGAAAGGAUCUCUAUUUUACAAACUAAUUAACUUUCCCAGAAUCACACAGCUACAUAGGCCAGGAGCCGUAGCUCCAAUUCGACCCCUAGCCUAGGAACUUCCAUAUGCUGCAGGUGCAGCCCUAAAAAGCAAAAAAAAAAAAAAAAAAAAAAAAAAAGAAAAGAAAAGAGUCGAAAAAGGAGGGUGAAAGUGGACAUCCUUGUCUUGUUUCUUAUCUUAGAGGAAUUUGUCAGCUUUUCACCAUUGAGUAUGAGGCUAUCUGUGGGUUUGUCAUAUAUGGCCUUUAUUAUGUUGAGCUAGUUUCCUUCUAUGCCUACUAUUUGGAGGGUUUUGUUUUGGUUUGGUUUCGUUUUUGUCUUUUUGCCAUUUUUACGGCCACUCCCGUGGCAUAUGGAGGUUCCCAGGCUAGGGGUCGAAUCACAGCUGUAGCCGCCGGCCUACGCCAGAGACAUAGCAACGCAGGAUCUGAGCCGCGUCUCAUCUUCAUUAUUCCCUUUCUUCUGCUAGCUUGUAACCAGGCAGGACCCUAUGGGUUCUUCUCAGGACAUGCCCUUCCUCCAUAUCCUCUGUUUUAGCUAUUCUCUGAAGUUCCUAGAUGAUAGUAUCUGAUGCUUAUUUCCUAAGUUUUUCAGAUGCUAAAACAACCACCAAAGUGAAGAAAUUAACUACUUUUUUUUGGGUCUUUUUUUGUCUUUUUGUCUUUUCUAGACCCACUCCCACGGCACAUGGAGGUUCCCAGGCUAGGGGUCAAAUCAGAGCUGUAGCCACCGGCCUACACCAGAGCCACAGCAACGCAGGAUCUGAGCCGCCUCUGCAACCUACACCACAGCUCAAGGCAAUGCCGUAUCCUUAACCCACUGAGUGAGGCAAGGGAUCAAACCCCACAACCUCAUGGUUCCUAAUAGGAUUCAUUAACCACUGAGCCAUGACGGGAACUCCUGGAGUUUUUUUAAAAUCAUAACUGGGUGUUGAAUUUUGUGAAAAGAUUUUUCAGCAUUUAUUGAGAUGAUUAUGUGGUUUUUAUUCUUCAAUUUGUUAAUGUGUUGUAUCAUACCAGUUGGUUUGCACAAAUAGAAAAAUCCUUGCAUUCCUGGAAUAAAUCCCACUUGAUCAUGAUGUAUGAUCCUUUCAGUGUGUUGUUGGAUUCAAUUGACUAGUACAUUGCUGAGGAUUUUUACAUCUAUGUUCAUCAGUGAUAUUGGCCUGUAAUUUUCUUUUUUUGUGUAGUAUCUUUGUCUGGUUUUUGGUAUGAGGGUGAUAGUGGCCUCAUAGAAUGAGUUUGGGAGUGUUUCUUCCUCUGCAACUUUUGAAAUAGUUUUGGAAGGUUAGCUGUUAACUCUUCUCUAAAUAGUUGAUAGAAUUCACCUAUAAGGCCAUCUGGUCCUAGACUUUUAUUUGUUGGAAGUUGUUUUGUUUUGUUUUACUAUAGAUUCUUUAGUUUAUUUUUUAUGUUUUUAAUUGUUAUUUCCCCAAUAAAAAUUUUUUCUACUGUACCACAUGGUGACCCAGUUACACAUAAAUGUACACAUUCUUUUUUUCUCACAUAAAGACAAAGAAGGACACUAUUUAAUGGUUAAAUGAUCCGUUCAAGAAGAGGAUAUUACAAUCAUCAAUAUAUAUGCCCCUAAUAUAGGAGCACCCAGAUACCUCCAACAAAUACUAACAGACAUAAAAGGAGAAAUUUCUGGGAAUACAAUCAUAGUGGGAGACUUUAAUACCCCACUCACAUCAAUGGACGGAUCCUCUAGACAGAAAAUCAAUAAGGCAACAGAGAUCCUAAAGGAAACAAUGGAAAAGUUAGACUUAACAUUUUCAGGAUAUUACAUUAAAAAAAAUCAGAAUAUACAUUCUUCUCAAGUGCACAUGGAGCAUUCUCAAGAAUUGAUCACAUACUGGGGCACAAAACUAACCUCAACAAAUUUAAGAAUAUAGAAAUUAUUUCAAGUAUCUUCUCUGACCACAAUGGCAUGAAACUAGAAAUCAACCUCAGGAAAAGAAAUGAGAAAAAACUGACUACAUGGAGACUAAACAACAUGCUACUAAAAAACCAAUGGGUCAAUGAGGAAAUUAAAAAGGAAAUUAAAAAAUACCUCGAGACAAAUGAUAAUGAAGACACAAGCACUCAAAAUCUAUGGGAUGUUUCAAAAGCAGUGCUCAGGGGGAAAUCCAUAGCAAUACAGGCCUUCCUCUAAAAAGAAGAAAAAUCUCAAAUCAGCAACUUAACCCACCAUCUAAAUGAAUUAGAAAGAGAACAAACAAAACCUAAAGUCAGCAGAAGGAAGGAAAUCAUAAAGAUCAAAGAGGAAAUCAAUAAAAUAGAGAUUAAAAAAACAAUGGAAGAAAUCAACAUAACCAUGAGCUGGUUCUUUGAAAAGGUAAACCAAAAUUGACCAACCUCUGGCUAGAUUCACCAAGAAGAGGAGAGAAAAAAAACCCAAAUAAACAAA